CGGGGUGUGGUCCACCGGUAGGAUGCGCGGUUCGGGAUCGCGCGGACUGAGUUCAAUUCUCAGCACCCCGACAA
This 74-nucleotide transfer RNA is filed under the name Candidatus Moraniibacteriota bacterium. RNAcentral's name for it is "Candidatus Moranbacteria bacterium tRNA-Pro". It matches the Rfam family "tRNA". Rfam says of the family: Transfer RNA (tRNA) molecules are approximately 80 nucleotides in length. Lineage: Bacteria; Candidatus Moraniibacteriota. The record is from RNAcentral.